CGCGGGUUGGAGAAGAGGUCAUCUCGUCACGCUCAUAACGUGAAGAUCGCUGGUUCGAAUCCAGCACCCGCUA
This 73-nucleotide transfer RNA is filed under the name archaeon. Its description in RNAcentral is "tRNA-Met". It matches the Rfam family "tRNA". From Rfam's summary of the family: Transfer RNA (tRNA) molecules are approximately 80 nucleotides in length. The record is from RNAcentral.